AAAAACAAAUAAAAAGAUUGGAGAGGUCCAUUGCUCAUCACUUGCAUUCAGAAAUACAAUCAACAUGCACACUACAAUUUUUCCAUAAUUCCAUUCAAAACAAGACCGUGCAUAGCGUUUCCAGCCACAUGAACUAAAGGGCAACACCACAUAACUUUCUAACACUACCAAGAACCAAUAUCUGAAUCCUAGUCCAGUUUGCCUGUGCUGCUUGCAAUCAUUUCACCAAUUUCUAUGACUUUUGCAUCUUCACUUCUAAAUCUUUAGCAGCUGUGCCAUUUCCAACUCCAGAUUCUUGGCAUGGAUUGCAAUCUGCUACACAUGAACGCACCAUCACUCAGAUUAGCAAACAGUAGAAGUAAAACGAAAAGAAAAUCCCCAUGAUGCUCCUUCAGAUUCUUAGAAAGUGCAUUGUGGCUGGUCUACAGAGCUUGUACUAAAAUAUAUUCAUAGAUUUUCCAUUAGCAACAUGGAGCAGCUAUUAUCCCCUACUGGGUUGAUGUCUCUCAUUUGUUCCAAGUUUAAAACAUAUGUAAUACAAGAAAUACAUGAUCCACGAAGAAAUACAUGAUCCAUAACAAUCAUAGUUUAGGUGAUCAGAAUGUGGAUAGCCAUCUACGUGCAGUGGCUAAAAGCAUAAUUCAGUGAAGGUCAUGAUCGCCUUGCCUUUGAAACUUCAUAAAGCAGGGAUUCUUUCCAUGGCUGAGGCCUAUGCAGAAGUCAGGACUGGCUGCCAACAUGUACAUCGAUCUGCAAGCAUCAGGCAGAAUUAAGAAUGUUAAUCAAGUCACCGCGUGCACAAAAUAAGGGGAUUAGUUGCUGUUGCAGGCUCGUUUCUGGCCCCGUUGGCCUGUUAGUGAUGAAUCAACAGCUGCAUACCUGGAAUUACACGCCUGUAUGCUUCUGCAUCAGCCAAAAUCUUGAUGCUGAACGUGAGGGGAAAGUUGUGAGUGACGCUAACAGAGCACCCAAGCUCAGGCAGAGUAUUCUUCUGCCGAUCUGGCCAAUUCACAGCCGGUGAGGCUCUCCUUGUGCUGCUGCCGAACCGUCGUGAGCACCUCUUCUGUACCGUGGCCUCCUAGCCAUUUGGCUUCAUUGCAUAAUUUACUGACAGCAAAACACAAACGACAGGCUGAUUUGAGGGGGCCAAAUACCGUCGAUCUGAAGCAACUUUCACCACGAUGGAGCUCAGAAUCAGAGCUGUUGCACAUUAAGAAACUCAAACGAGGAACAGUGAAAUUGUAACAUUUAACAAACAAAAUUAUAUGCGGAACACAAAAUUCAUAGAGUAAGCAUGACCAGAUCCUACAAUACAUUCCUCGGAGACUACACCAUGAAUCUGGCAUGAUUUGUUGUAGGUGAAGUUACCACAACAACCCCCCAAAAAAAUCAGUCCAAAGCUUAUUUCCCAACAAAAAAAUUUCACAAUGUUUGGAAGUCCAAAGCUUCAGAACAGUUGGAAUGAUUAGGAAAGUAUAUUGAUCCAAACUUAUUAAUAUCAGUGAAUCAAACCAACCAGAUCUGAACCUAGCAGGCUAGCAGAUUUGGAUUGGCAAAUCUAAUCAGUAUAUAUGUCUUAGGAGCGGUGGCAUUAGCUCUGAUAUUUCUUUCAGGAUACCAUGCUAAUCUUAAGAUGAAGAUACCAUUCGUUCAAGUACAGGGAAACAAAAGAUAAUCAACCCCUGGUUCUGGUAAAUUAUCAUUAUUAUUCUAAUUGAUCUAAAACUAUAGUAUCAUUAUGCAUCUGAAGAAUCUGAACAAAAGUAGUUUUUCAGGAAAGAAACCUUAUUAGAUAUAGUUUACGUCUCUGAAAGUAAACAUGUUGAAUACCUGAAUCAGUUUUAUUUAAGCAAAUCACUAAUGAGUAUUUUCAACAUUCAAGAAACAACGGUGAUGGCAUUUAUUUGGAACAUUAGCUAAAGAUGAGCUGAUAAUACACUGGCGUGCCGUAAAGCUCACGGAAAUCAGUACAUUCAUAUGGACAUAAAGUUAUAAAACAUGCUAGUUUUACUAGGCAAUUAAGCUCACCUCCGCCUCAGUUGUUGCCAAAAAAUAAAAGAGCAGUGCAAAGUUCAGGAAUAAUCUCCAAUGUUAUGAAGGAGCUCAAAACUCCAUAUAACAUUGUCAAAAAGGGAUAAUUUCCAACAUUUCUAAAACUAGUUCAGGAAAUGAAAGGUAAGAUUCUAUUCUUAUGAGAUAAUCCUAAAAUAAUUAAUUGCAUGGCUACAGGAAACAAGCAGCAAUUACCAUGCAGAAGGACAUAUUGGCUAUUGCACAUAAUCACACCGAGGGACAUAUGAGAUGGUAAGGUAAAAAAAAAACCUUUAUUCUAGAUGUCCUGCUGGGCUGUAUCCCCUUUUGCCCUGAUUCUCCAAUGUUAUAUAUGGGAUAAUUUAUAUUGCAAACAUGAACCUGUCAGCACGACUGCAUCACAAGGAAGAGGGGAUUAGCAUGCAUGCAACAAUCUACAGAAAAAUAACAGAGAGGCAAUACAUUGCGAGAUGGGAAAUCACUGCUAGUUUAAUUAACACGAAAGAUUUGGUUACAAAACAGCAAUUACCAUGCAGAAGGGAUUAACGGAGGAAAUAAGAUCCACCUCUCCAGUGGUGUUAGAUCUACACAAAGGAGCACAGAUUAAAAUUGGAAAUAGGAUUAAUUGCACAAAAAUCUCUGGCAAGAUCAAUUUCAUCAGAAAAAUUCCAGACCUCAUGCAGUCUCAGCAGCGUGCCAUCAUGGAUGUCUUCCAGCAUAAUUGACUAGAUACGGCCGCACAUGCCCCAGCAACAUUCGUGUGACAUAAAUCCAAAAUUGACAGAGUCAAAAAUAUUUUUAGGCAUCCAAAUCAAAUUCACCAACAUCAAACACCUGCUCACCUGAUUGCCGGGAGCGUCGCUGUUGCCGCAUGUGCUCGCGUCUGCACGGACAAGGCGCAAGAACCUGGAGACACGCAGAUGACCAUGAGUGCAAGAACGAGUAGGUGAGCGUGCUGUUAAUGGCAAGAAUCCCAGCGGAGAGAAGGCAUCUAACAGUAGCACCUAUGCCUGAAUUCCAUAGGAAAGAAAUCCAAAAACAUCUGCAUGCACAUAAGCACAAAAGUUUUGAAUCCUUGAACUAGAUUUGGAUGGGGGCACACAGAUUGCACUAACCUGGAGCUCCCUUCGUGAUGCAGGGCAUCUCCGGAGCCACUGAGCACUUGCGGCCCGC
RNAcentral lists this long non-coding RNA (3204 nucleotides) under Setaria italica (foxtail millet). Its description in RNAcentral is "long non-coding RNA (SITA_LNC004279)". Lineage: Eukaryota; Viridiplantae; Streptophyta; Magnoliopsida; Poales; Poaceae. The record is from RNAcentral.